Molecule: ribosomal RNA, 754 nt
Filed under: Scolecomorphus vittatus
Lineage: Eukaryota; Metazoa; Chordata; Amphibia; Gymnophiona; Scolecomorphidae
Description: partial 16S ribosomal RNA
Rfam family: Archaeal large subunit ribosomal RNA
Source: RNAcentral
UCAAAACCCCUCCCCACCAGUGAAUUAUAUUAUAAAUUAUAAUAAAAUUAAUGUUAAAACUAGUAAUAAGAAAAUAAAAUUUUCUCAUGUGCACCAAUGUAAGUCAGACUGGACUAACCACUGACAAUUAUAAAUAAAUACAAAUUUAUAAACUAGAUGAGGUAUUAAAUUUUUUAACGUUAAACCAACACUGGAAUGCACUAAGAAAGACUAAAAAAUAAAGAAGGAACUCAGCAAAUAAGAUUCCCGCCUGUUUACCAAAAACAUCACCUCUAGUAUACACAUUAGAGGCCCUGCCUGCCCAGUGAAAAUUUUUAACGGCCGCGGUAUUCUGACCGUGCAAAGGUAGCAUAAUCACUUGUCUUUUAAAUAAAGACUAGAAUGAAUGGCAAGACGAGGUAUCCACUGUCUCCUUUAUUUAGUCAAAGAAACUGAUCUCCCUGUGAAAAAGCAGAGAUAAAUUUACAAGACGAGAAGACCCUAUGAAGCUUAAAUACACAACUAGUUAAGAACUUAUUUAAUAUAAGCUUUUAAUACUACUAAUUAUUAAAUUUGGUUGGGGUGACCACGGAGAAAGAAAAACCUCCGAGAAAUAAAAUUAAGAUAACCUUUCAAAAUUAAAUAAAAACACUUGACCCAAUUGUAUUGAUCAACGAAACAAGUUACUCUAGGGAUAACAGCGCAAUAUUCUCCAAGAGCCCCUAUCGACGAGAAAGUUUACGACCUCGAUGUUGGAUCAGGAUACCCAGACAAU